This 631-nucleotide ribosomal RNA is filed under the name uncultured bacterium. RNAcentral's name for it is "bacterial SSU rRNA". It matches the Rfam family "Bacterial small subunit ribosomal RNA", at positions 138 to 749 of the family's 1533-position model. The record is from RNAcentral.
CUGGAAUAAUACGCCGAAAGGGGUACUAAUACCGGAUAUUCUUGCUUUAUAUAAGUUUUGCAAGGAAAGGUGGCCUCUGAAUAUGCUACUGCAUGAAGAGGGGUCUGCGUACCAUUAGCUAGUAGGUGGGGUAAUGGCCUACCUAGGCGACGAUGGUUAGCGGGUCUGAGAGGAUGAUCCGCCACACUGGCACUGGAACACGGGCCAGACUCCUACGGGAGGCAGCAGUGAGGAAUAUUGCGCAAUGGGGGCAACCCUGACGCAGCGACGCCGCGCGAGUGAGGAAGGCCUUCGGGUCGUAAAGCUCUGUCAAAGGGAAAGAAGUGCAUGGUGGCUAAUACCUGCCAUGUUUGACGGUACCCUUAAAGGAAGCACCGGCUAACUCCGUGCCAGCAGCCGCGGUAAUACGGAGGGUGCAAGCGUUGUUCGGAAUCACUGGGCGUAAAGGGCGCGUAGGCGGUUUGAUAAGUCAGAUGUGAAAGCCCACGGCUUAACUGUGGAAGUGCAUUUGAAACUGUCAGACUUGAGUAUCAGAGGGGAAAGUGGAAUUCCCGGUGUAGAGGUGAAAUUCGUAGAUAUCGGGAGGAAUACCGGUGGCGAAGGCGACUUUCUGGCUGAAUACUGACGCUGA